RNAcentral lists this transfer RNA (73 nucleotides) under Uromyces viciae-fabae. RNAcentral's name for it is "tRNA-Tyr (GTA) (tRNA-Tyr-GTA-2-1)". It matches the Rfam family "tRNA". From Rfam's summary of the family: Transfer RNA (tRNA) molecules are approximately 80 nucleotides in length. Their secondary structure includes four short double-helical elements and three loops (D, anti-codon, and T loops). Lineage: Eukaryota; Fungi; Basidiomycota; Pucciniomycetes; Pucciniales; Pucciniaceae. The record is from RNAcentral.
CCCCCGAUAGCUCAGUUGGAAGAGCGCGAGACUGUAAAUCUUGAGGUCGCUGGUUCGAUCCCGGCUCGUGGGA